AUCUUUUUCUCAUUAUGCUCUCUUCCAAUCUCAUACCUCAUUUCUUCUCCUCCAACCUUAAAUUUUAAUCUUCAAUUUUCUCACCAUCAUCCAAUUAAUUCAAAGAUUAUUAAGAGAUUCAUUCAAGAAGUUGCAUCUCCACAAAAUAUAUUUUGUUAAUUGAGACCAGGGAAUAGAAUAUUAUUUGAAAGAGUUGUGGAUGGGGAAGGAUCGUCACGUCCACAACAAUUGACACCCCAAAUGAUGGAAGCAAUGUGACAAUUGGCGUUAACUGAGGUGAGACGCGAGGCGGCAGAAUGUGAGGGGUGAUAAAUGUCCAAGUGGAGGAAAUGAAGAAUAGACAAAUUGAGAUUGAGCAAAUAAUGCGUCAAUUGCUCUCACAACAAGGAAACCAAACAAAUAAUUCAAUAAACGGUGAUGUGAAUGAUGAUGAUGAUGAUGAUGAUGUGGACGAAGCUAUGGAUGAUGAG
Long non-coding RNA from Lathyrus oleraceus (garden pea), 470 nucleotides. RefSeq lists it as uncharacterized. The transcript has 3 exons. The record is from RefSeq and is a predicted model, not a curated record. Lineage: Eukaryota; Viridiplantae; Streptophyta; Magnoliopsida; Fabales; Fabaceae.